UGUUAUUGGCCAGUUGCUGGAGAAU
This 25-nucleotide non-coding RNA is filed under the name Mus musculus (house mouse). Lineage: Eukaryota; Metazoa; Chordata; Mammalia; Rodentia; Muridae. The record is from RNAcentral.